Molecule: long non-coding RNA, 702 nt
Filed under: Homo sapiens (human)
Lineage: Eukaryota; Metazoa; Chordata; Mammalia; Primates; Hominidae
Description: HSALNT0321160
Source: RNAcentral
CUCCGCCUCCCGGGUUCACGCCAUUCUCCCGCCUCAGCCUCCCUCAGCGUCCGGAGUAGCUAGGACUACAGGCGCCCGCUACCACGCCCGGCUAAUUUUUUUGUAGUUUUAGUAGAGACGGGGUUUCACCGUGUUAGCCAGGAUGGUCUCCAUCUCCUGACCUCGUGAUCCGCCCGCCUCGGCCUCCCAAAGCGUUGGGAUUACAGGAGUGAGCCACCGCGCCCGGCCGAUUCUUGAAGAAACUGCUCUCAUAAGCUAAGGUUCCUUAUGAUUCUGCAAGGAAGAGAAGACUAAAGCAAAUCACUGUCUGAAAACAUAACAGCUGGCUAAAGCUGGAGUGCAGUGGCAUGAUCUCGGCUCACUGCAACCUCCGCCUCCCGGGUUCAAGUGAUUCUCCUGCCUCAGCCUCCCAAAUAGCUGUGAUUACAGGUCACAGUGUCCAUGUAACUAACUCCUGGUUAAGAGGAUAUGGAUAGAAGGCACAUGUUCAACUUCUGGCUUCUGUCCUUGAAAAGUGUGAUGAUUCCAUCCUUUGCUGUCUUCCUUCCCGCUGACUGGAAUGUGGACUUGGUAGUGAGCUACCUUGGACUAUGUGGAUGAAGACAAAGAUAAAAGGAACCAAGGACUCUGAUGAUUCUGUAGAGAAGAGGAACCGUAGCUGCUCAAACGUUCAUGUGAAAGAAGAAUAAACUAUCAGAUUUA